CAGCCGCCGCGGUAAUACGGAGGGUGCAAGCGUUAUCCGGAUUCACUGGGUUUAAAGGGUGCGUAGGCGGAUCUGUAAGUCAGUGGUGAAAUCUCCAGGCUUAACCUGGAAACUGCCGUUGAUACUAUAGGUCUUGAAUUUUGUGGAGGUUAGCGGAAUAUGUCAUGUAGCGGUGAAAUGCAUAGAUAUGGCAUAGAACACCAAUUGCGAAGGCAGCUGGCUACACAACUAUUGACGCUGAGGCACGAAAGCGUGGGGAUCAAACAGGAUUAGAUACCCCAGUAGUCCCUGUCUCUUAUAC
Molecule: ribosomal RNA, 301 nt
Filed under: uncultured bacterium
Lineage: Bacteria
Description: partial 16S ribosomal RNA
Rfam family: Bacterial small subunit ribosomal RNA
Source: RNAcentral